RNAcentral lists this ribosomal RNA (439 nucleotides) under uncultured bacterium. Its description in RNAcentral is "bacterial SSU rRNA". It matches the Rfam family "Bacterial small subunit ribosomal RNA", at positions 28 to 507 of the family's 1533-position model. The record is from RNAcentral.
GAUUAACGCUGGCGGUAUGCCUAACACAUGCAAGUCGAACGAAGUCUUCGGACUUAGUGGCGGACGGGUGAGUAACACGUUGGAACCUACCCCGAAGUGGGGAAUAACUGGCCGAAAGGUCGGCUAAUACCCCAUAGUAUCCAGUUUAUCUGGAUUAAAGAUUUAUCGCUUCGGGAGGGGCCUGCGUCUGAUUAGCUAGUUGGUGAGGUAAAAGCUCACCAAGGCGACGAUCAGUAGCUGGAUCGAGAGGUUGACCAGCCACACUGGGACUGAGAUACGGCCCAGACUCCUACGGGAGGCAGCAGUGAGGAAUUUUCCACAAUGGACGAAAGUCUGAUGGAGCAAUACCGCGUGCAGGAAGAAGGCUUUCGGGUCGUAAACUGCUUUAUUUGGGAAGAUUAUGACGGUACCAAAUGAAUAAGGAUCGGCUAACUACGUG